This 497-nucleotide ribosomal RNA is filed under the name uncultured bacterium. RNAcentral's name for it is "partial 16S ribosomal RNA". It matches the Rfam family "Bacterial small subunit ribosomal RNA", at positions 28 to 507 of the family's 1533-position model. The record is from RNAcentral.
GAUGAACGCUGGCGGCGUGCCUAAUACAUGCAAGUCGAGCGAACAGAUGAGGAGCUUGCUCCUCUGACGUUAGCGGCGGACGGGUGAGUAACACGUGGAUAACCUACCUAUAAGACUGGGAUAACUUCGGGAAACCGGAGCUAAUACCGGAUAAUAUAUUGAACCGCAUGGUUCAAUAGUGAAAGACGGUUUUGCUGUCACUUAUAGAUGGAUCCGCGCCGCAUUAGCUAGUUGGUAAGGUAACGGCUUACCAAGGCAACGAUGCGUAGCCGACCUGAGAGGGUGAUCGGCCACACUGGAACUGAGACACGGUCCAGACUCCUACGGGAGGCAGCAGUAGGGAAUCUUCCGCAAUGGGCGAAAGCCUGAUGGAGCAACGCCGCGUGAGUGAUGAAGGUCUUCGGAUCGUAAAACUCUGUUAUUAGGGAAGAACAAAUGUGUAAGUAACUAUGCACGUCUUGACGGUACCUAAUCAGAAAGCCACGGCUAACUACGUG